ACGGAAGGCAGCAGUGAGGAAUAUUGGUCAAUGGGCGGAAGCCUGAACCAGCCAAGUCGCGUGAAGGAAGAAGGUAUUAUGUAUUGUAAACUUCUUUAGCAGCAGAGAAAUAAGGUGGACGUGUCCACUGAUGCUAGUAUGCUGAGAAUAAGCAUCGGCUAACUCCGUGCCAGCAGCCGCGGUAAUACGGAGGAUGCGAGCGUUAUCCGGAUUUAUUGGGUUUAAAGGGUGCGCAGGCGGCUUUUUAAGUCAGUGGUUAAAUCGUGACGCUCAACGUCAUCACGCCAUUGAUACUGGAGAGCUUGAUUGCGGUCGAGGUUUGCGGAAUUCGUUGUGUAGCGGUGAAAUGCAUAGAUAUGACGAAGAACACCGAUUGCGUAGGCAGCAGACCAGGCCGUAAAUGACGCUCAUGCACGAAAGUGCGGGGAUCGAACAGGAUUAGAUACCCUGGUA
Molecule: ribosomal RNA, 453 nt
Filed under: uncultured Porphyromonadaceae bacterium
Lineage: Bacteria; Pseudomonadati; Bacteroidota; Bacteroidia; Bacteroidales; Porphyromonadaceae
Description: partial 16S ribosomal RNA
Rfam family: Bacterial small subunit ribosomal RNA
Source: RNAcentral